GUGUCAGCAGCCGCGGUAAUACAUAGGGUGCAAGCGUUGUCCGGAAUUAUUGGGCGUAAAGAGCUCGUAGGUGGUUCGUCACGUCGGAUGUGAAAAUCUGGGGCUUAACCCCAGACCUGCAUUCGAUACGGGCGAGCUAGAGUGUGGUAGGGGAGACUGGAAUUCCUGGUGUAGCGGUGGAAUGCGCAGAUAUCAGGAGGAACACCAAUGGCGAAGGCAGGUCUCUGGGCCAUUACUGACACUGAGGAGCGAAAGCGUGGGGAGCGAACAGGAUUAGAUACCCUGGUAGUCCACGCCGUAAACGGUGGGCACUAGUUGUGGGAACCUUCCACGGUUUCUGCGACGCAGCUAACGCAUUAAGUGCCCCGCCUGGGGAGUACGAUCGCAAGAUUAAAACUCAAAUGAAUUGACGGGG
RNAcentral lists this ribosomal RNA (415 nucleotides) under uncultured prokaryote. RNAcentral describes it as "bacterial SSU rRNA". It matches the Rfam family "Bacterial small subunit ribosomal RNA", at positions 505 to 918 of the family's 1533-position model. The record is from RNAcentral.